UUCAGUUUUGACUCUUUGUCUUAUUUAAAAUUUUUUUAUGAUUAAUAUUUGUUUUUACUAUAUGAUAAAACGUGAAUAGUAUUUUAUGCGUGAUUAAAUUUUUUUAGAUUUCUACACAAAUCUUUUAAAUAAGACAAAUAAUUAAACACUGGGCACGAAAA
This 161-nucleotide microRNA precursor is filed under the name Oryza brachyantha (malo sina). RNAcentral's name for it is "MIR812 microRNA precursor family". It matches the Rfam family "MIR812 microRNA precursor family", at positions 27 to 187 of the family's 205-position model. Lineage: Eukaryota; Viridiplantae; Streptophyta; Magnoliopsida; Poales; Poaceae. The record is from Rfam by way of RNAcentral.